This 717-nucleotide ribosomal RNA is filed under the name Vibrio fluvialis. RNAcentral's name for it is "bacterial SSU rRNA". It matches the Rfam family "Bacterial small subunit ribosomal RNA", at positions 330 to 1039 of the family's 1533-position model. The record is from RNAcentral. Lineage: Bacteria; Pseudomonadati; Pseudomonadota; Gammaproteobacteria; Vibrionales; Vibrionaceae.
UCCAGACUCCUACGGGAGGCAGCAGUGGGGAAUAUUGCACAAUGGGCGCAAGCCUGAUGCAGCCAUGCCGCGUGUAUGAAGAAGGCCUUCGGGUUGUAAAGUACUUUCAGCAGUGAGGAAGGAGGUAUCGUUAAUAGCGGUAUCUUUUGACGUUAGCUGCAGAAGAAGCACCGGCUAACUCCGUGCCAGCAGCCGCGGUAAUACGGAGGGUGCGAGCGUUAAUCGGAAUUACUGGGCGUAAAGCGCAUGCAGGUGGUUUGUUAAGUCAGAUGUGAAAGCCCGGGGCUCAACCUCGGAAUUGCAUUUGAAACUGGCAGGCUAGAGUACUGUAGAGGGGGGUAGAAUUUCAGGUGUAGCGGUGAAAUGCGUAGAGAUCUGAAGGAAUACCGGUGGCGAAGGCGGCCCCCUGGACAGAUACUGACACUCAGAUGCGAAAGCGUGGGGAGCAAACAGGAUUAGAUACCCUGGUAGUCCACGCCGUAAACGAUGUCUACUUGGAGGUUGUGGCCUUGAGCCGUGGCUUUCGGAGCUAACGCGUUAAGUAGACCGCCUGGGGAGUACGGUCGCAAGAUUAAAACUCAAAUGAAUUGACGGGGGCCCGCACAAGCGGUGGAGCAUGUGGUUUAAUUCGAUGCAACGCGAAGAACCUUACCUACUCUUGACAUCCAGAGAACUUAGCAGAGAUGCUUUGGUGCCUUCGGGAACUCUGAGACAGGU